GAGAGUUAGGGAGGGAGUUGCGGAUUCCUGUCACAGGGAAUCUGAGGAAAGUCCGGGCUUCCCAAAGGCCAAACUUGCUGGGUAACGCCCAGUGCGCGCGAGCGUGAGGACAGUGCCACAGAAAAAUACCGCCCUUUUUAGAAAACAGCAACCAGUAAACAGUUAACAGGGUUUUUCUGCUGACUAACUGGUAACUGACCACUGAAAAGGGUAAGGGUGCAAAGGUGCGGUAAGAGCGCACCAGCAGUAUCGAGAGGUACUGGCUCGGUAAACCCCGGUUGGAAGCAAGGUCGGAGGGGCAAAGGUUGGUCUUUUUCCUGCCCCAUGAUUGGUGGAACCGCUUGAGGAAUUUGGUAACAAAUUUCCCAGAUAGAUAACUCCCCAAGGGUGCCUCGCAUCCUGGAACAGAACCCGGCUUACGACUAACUCUCUUUU
Non-coding RNA from Synechocystis sp., 435 nucleotides. NCBI's taxonomy places the organism in Bacteria, Bacillati, Cyanobacteriota, Cyanophyceae, Synechococcales, Merismopediaceae. The record is from Rfam.